UCCCAUUCAGUCUUUGAGUCAAGCAGGGAA
Molecule: non-coding RNA, 30 nt
Filed under: Rattus norvegicus (Norway rat)
Lineage: Eukaryota; Metazoa; Chordata; Mammalia; Rodentia; Muridae
Source: RNAcentral